UGGGGUGUGGCGCAAUUGGCAGCGCAGUUCGCUCUGAACGAAACGGUUGGGGGUUCAAAUCCCUCCACCCCAG
This 73-nucleotide transfer RNA is filed under the name Hungatella hathewayi. RNAcentral's name for it is "tRNA-Gln". It matches the Rfam family "tRNA". From Rfam's summary of the family: Transfer RNA (tRNA) molecules are approximately 80 nucleotides in length. Their secondary structure includes four short double-helical elements and three loops (D, anti-codon, and T loops). Further hydrogen bonds mediate the characteristic L-shaped molecular structure. tRNAs have two regions of fundamental functional importance: the anti-codon, which is responsible for specific mRNA codon recognition, and the 3' end, to which the tRNAs corresponding amino acid is attached (by aminoacyl-tRNA synthetases). tRNAs cope with the degeneracy of the genetic code in two manners: having more than one tRNA (with a specific anti-codon) for a particular amino acid; and 'wobble' base-pairing, i.e. permitting non-standard base-pairing at the 3rd anti-codon position. The record is from RNAcentral. Lineage: Bacteria; Bacillati; Bacillota; Clostridia; Lachnospirales; Lachnospiraceae. RNAcentral also lists the same sequence under 1 other name.